This 194-nucleotide ribosomal RNA is filed under the name uncultured bacterium. RNAcentral's name for it is "partial 16S ribosomal RNA". It matches the Rfam family "Bacterial small subunit ribosomal RNA", at positions 1308 to 1500 of the family's 1533-position model. The record is from RNAcentral.
AAACUCGCCUACAUGAAGCUGGAGUUACUAGUAAUCGCAGAUCAGAAUGCUGCGGUGAAUACGUUCCCGGGUCUUGUACACACCGCCCGUCACACCAUGGGAGUCGGAAAUGCCCGAAGCCGGUGACCAAACCAAUAAGGAAGGAGCCGUCGAAGGCAGGUCUGAUAACUGGGGUGAAGUCGUAACAAGGUACC